This 253-nucleotide ribosomal RNA is filed under the name uncultured bacterium. Its description in RNAcentral is "partial 16S ribosomal RNA". It matches the Rfam family "Bacterial small subunit ribosomal RNA", at positions 524 to 776 of the family's 1533-position model. The record is from RNAcentral.
UACGGAGGGUGCGAGCGUUAAUCGGAAUUACUGGGCGUAAAGCGCACGCAGGCGGUUUGUUAAGCUAGAUGUGAAAGCCCCGGGCUCAACCUGGGAUGGUCAUUUAGAACUGGCAGACUAGAGUCUUGGAGAGGGGAGUGGAAUUCCAGGUGUAGCGGUGAAAUGCGUAGAUAUCUGGAGGAACAUCAGUGGCGAAGGCGACUCCCUGGCCAAAGACUGACGCUCAUGUGCGAAGGUGUGGGUAGCGAACAGG